This is a non-coding RNA of Pelobates cultripes (western spadefoot toad), 501 nucleotides long. Lineage: Eukaryota; Metazoa; Chordata; Amphibia; Anura; Pelobatidae. The record is from the annotation of a GenBank genome assembly.
CAAUGCUUAUACUAACCAGAAUAAAUACAGUAAGCUGUAGUUGUUCUGGUGACUAUAGUGUCCCUUUAACCUUCACUUUCCAUAGGGCAUGUUCACCUCAUCAGCAUUAUGGGUACAUUUCGUAAGAGAAAAAUAAUGUACUAAUGAUCAAUGACCGAUUUUUUUAAUUUUAUUGAGCAGGUUUUCUCAUUCAUCAAUUUUAGACCUACCACUGUCUAGAAACAUCUUCCAGAAAUCCCCCUAUAUACUGUAUGAAUACAAACAGGAAAUAUUUUAAAUUACCAUUAAAGAUACACUCUGGACCACUAAAGCACUUCAGCUUCAAUAGUUAUAGUAAAAAUUGCAGAUUUCAAUAGGAACUGGCACUUUUGUAAAUUAACCUUGUUACACCUCCCUGGUUGUCAGUCAGACAGACACCUGUUACUUCAGUGGAGCUAAACUCAAGAGGCAGCAAUUACCCAAUGCUCUUGCCUUACAAAGACCUUUCAUUGAGCUGCAUUG